GAUUUAUUUAUUAAGAACAUGUUAACGUUGUAAAGUUAUAUGGUGAUUAAUAAAUGGUAAUGAAAUGUUAGUCGUUUUUUAGGAUAGCUAGUUUAUUGGUAAAGGUAUUUAAGUGCUAUAGUAUUAGUAUAAUAUGGGUAUAUUUUAAUGCUAGUUUAUUAUAUAGGGGAUAAGCUUUAUAUAAAUUUAUAGAAUUUUGUUAUUAUUUAUUAAAUUAAAAGUAGGGUUAAUGUGUUUUUCUUUAAGAGGUUAGAUAAUGUAUAAAUUAAUAUUCAGUAGAAAGCCAAUAAAUAACUGUUAAUUUAAGUAGUUAAAUAUAAUGUUAAUAUGAGUAUUAAAUAAUUUGUUAAAUUUAUAUAAUUAAAAUUGUAAUGAUUUAUAUUGUAAUGAAAUAAUGAAAUAAAAUAAAGGAAUUCGGCAAAUAGUAAUCUCGCCUGUUUAUCAAAAACAUGUCUCCUUGUAAAAGAUAGAUAAGGAG
This 478-nucleotide ribosomal RNA is filed under the name Sepioteuthis lessoniana. Its description in RNAcentral is "partial 16S ribosomal RNA". Lineage: Eukaryota; Metazoa; Mollusca; Cephalopoda; Myopsida; Loliginidae. The record is from RNAcentral.